This 454-nucleotide ribosomal RNA is filed under the name uncultured bacterium. Its description in RNAcentral is "partial 16S ribosomal RNA". It matches the Rfam family "Bacterial small subunit ribosomal RNA", at positions 28 to 507 of the family's 1533-position model. The record is from RNAcentral.
GAUGAACGCUGACAGAAUGCUUAACACAUGCAAGUCAACCGGAACCUCGGUUUGGGUGGCGGCCGGGUGAGUAACGCGUACAGAACUUGCCUCACAGCUAGGGACAACAUUUGGAAACGAAUGCUAAUACCGGAUAUUAUGAUUAUAUGGCAUCGUAUAAUUAUGAAAGCUAUGUGCGCUGUGAGAGAGCUUUGCGUCCCAUUAGCUAGGUGGAGAGGUAACAGCUCACCAAGGCGAUGAUGGGUAGCCGGCCUGGGAGGGUGAUCGGCCACAGGGGGACAGGGGAACGGCCAUUGCUCCUUCGGGGGGCAGGAGUGGAGAAUAUUGGACAACAGACCGCGAGUCUGAUCCAGCAAUUCGGUGUGCACGAUGAAGUUUUUCGGAAUGUAAAGUGCUUUCAGUUGAGAAGGAAAAAAUGACGGUACCAACAGAAGAAGCGACGGCUAAAUACGUG